CAGCCGUAAACUAUGCGCGUUAGGUGUAUCGGUGACCACGAGUCACCGAGGUGCCGAAGGGAAACCGUGAAACGUGCCGCCUGGGAAGUACGGUCGCAAGGCUGAAACUUAAAGGAAUUGGCGGGGAGCACCACAACGGGUGGAGCCUGCGGUUUAAUUUGGACUCAACGCCGGGAAGCUCACCGGAUAAGACAGCGGAAUGAUUGCCGGGCUGAAGACUCUGCAUGACUAGCUGAGAGGAGGUGCAUGGCGUAGACGUCU
RNAcentral lists this ribosomal RNA (261 nucleotides) under uncultured archaeon. RNAcentral describes it as "partial 16S ribosomal RNA". It matches the Rfam family "Archaeal small subunit ribosomal RNA", at positions 748 to 1009 of the family's 1478-position model. The record is from RNAcentral.